Non-coding RNA from Manis javanica (Malayan pangolin), 2256 nucleotides. Lineage: Eukaryota; Metazoa; Chordata; Mammalia; Pholidota; Manidae. The record is from RefSeq and is a predicted model, not a curated record.
GGGAAGAGGAGAUCACAAUGGAGAACGCGCGCCCUGCCUGACCUUUCGGUAGUCUCCCACCCGGUCUCUCUGGACGAGUCCCGCUCCGCUGUUCCCGCCGGACUCCUGGAGGCUUGGCAGUACAAGCUCAGCACACUAAAAAACACUCACUCCGACCUACACCUGAAGUGCUGAAGCCCAGAGACAAGAUGAUCCCGUUUCCACAGGGAUCGCUCUCCUACCGCAACCGCAUGGGGAUCCCAACUCUGCGGCUCCCCUCCGCGGCCAGGGAGGGCCCUGCACCCCCAACGCCCGAAAAUAAGCUCGCCCCCAGGCGGCCUCCCAAGUCCCAGCGCCAGGAACCCCGGGGCGCUCUGACAACCGCGGCAGCCUCGGGCGCGACAGACGGCAUCUUCCUGCGGUAAAGCGCUCUCAGCCGCCUUCCUGCACCGGGAGCCGGUCAGCUCGCUUCGCCCUCCCACCGAGGAAGCGCAGCGCCACCGAUACCCGGAUGCUGGCCGGGUCCGCGCACGCACGUCUUCUGCCCGCGCCGUGCCGUCGCCCACUUUCAGCUCAGCCUCCUCGGGUGCCGCGGCAGCCGCGCCGGCCACGUCUCCGCGUCCCUUUUCCUGGGCACUGCCUGCCCAUUUUCUACUCCUCCUACUCGCUCCCUCCGGCUGUUAACUUAUCCUAGUAGUUUAGCUCACUCAUUUCCUCCCUGAAUCAGAAUCCAGCCACUUACCAAGCACUCACGCUUCUAUUUUUGUAUCUGCCCAUGCUACUUUUUGUAUGCUCCUGACAGCCUUUGUGGACAAAGGAAGUUGUAAGAAGGGAGAAUGAAAAUGAAAAACAAAACAAAACUUUCUUACCCACAGAAAAGUUGCAAAAAUAAUACAAAGAAUUACCAUGACCAUACACACAUUACCCAGAUUUACCAAUUUCAAUUAUUUUGCGACAUUUGUUCCUCCUCUCUCUCAAACUGUAAGCACACAUAGAUUAUUUUUUCUAACCAAUUUCAGAACAACUUGCAUACCUUUAUAUCUUAUCUCUAAUAAUUCAGUAUGUAUUUCUUAAGGGAAGGGAUACGGACCACAUUCAAAUUUCACCAAUCAUUCAAAAAAUGUCCUUUAGAGCAACUUUUCCCCCAGUCCGGGAUGUGGGCAGGAUCUUAAGAGUUCAUUUAGUGUUUUUGUUUGUCUAGUGUCCUUUAAUCUGAAAUGUUUCUUAACUUUUCUUUAUUCAGGGCAUUGACAGAUUUUGAAGAAUUCAGGCCCGCUGUUGAAUAGAAUGCCCUUCAUUUUGGGUUUAUCUGAUGUUUCCUCAUGAUUAGAUUGAGGUUAUGCACUUUUGGCAAAAAUAUAAAUAAUGUUGUGUUCUCAGUGUAUCACACAAGGUUUUUUCCUUAAUUGGUGGUGUUAACUAAAUGCAGUCUUCCCACAUUCAGUUAGUUUAUAAUCUGUAGGGACAUAAUUGGGGCCAUAUAAAUGUCCUAUUGCUCAUUUAAAUUUUAUCCAUAGUUUUAGAAUUGAUUAAAGAAUUUUUCCCUCAAUCAGUCAUUGCUAUUAUGUAGCACAAUGGUGAUAUUAUUCUUUAAAUCUAGUCUCCCACGUUUAUUUUUCAUUCUUUUUAAAAUUGAGAUACAAUUGACAUGUAACACUAUAUAGAGUUUCAGGUGUACAACAUAAUGAUGUUAUUUGUCUAUAUUACAAAGUGAUCACCAAAAUAAACCUAGUAAACACCCAUCACCACACAGUUACAUAUUUUUUCUUGUGAUGAGAACUUUUAACCAUACAGUAUUACUAACUAUAGUCACCAUGCUGUCCCAUACAUCUCUAGGGCUUAUUUUCUUCCACAUUUAUUCAUUAGUAUAUUACUGUUAAAAAGAAACCAAAACAAAGGCUACAGUUUGAAUAUACCCCUCUGCCAAACAUUCAAUACCAUAACCAAAUUUACCACAACCAAUCACAUAACCAAAACUUAAAACUGUCCUGAUUUCUCCAAAAUGCUGACUCUGAACUUAAAGUUUAAGAUUUCUUCAUGUCAGUGUGACUGUAUAGCUAGCUUCCUAGUCAAUCAGCUACAAACAAGCUUAUGCAGUAAUACUACCAUAAAUGAAAUGUCAGUUUCUAGUCAUAACAGAAAAAAAAUGUACUUCCUCAUUUAUGCUUUACAAACCGAGCUGUUACAGCUGAGAGUCAAGCUUCUAUGACUUCUGAUUUUGAAAUCUCCCUGCUCAUGAAGAAUUUCUUACUCAAUAAAAUAUUCAUAUCAAGUAAA